This 449-nucleotide ribosomal RNA is filed under the name Bacillus mycoides. RNAcentral's name for it is "bacterial SSU rRNA". It matches the Rfam family "Bacterial small subunit ribosomal RNA", at positions 95 to 529 of the family's 1533-position model. Lineage: Bacteria; Bacillati; Bacillota; Bacilli; Caryophanales; Bacillaceae. The record is from RNAcentral.
GCGGCGGACGGGUGAGUAACACGUGGGUAACCUGCCCAUAAGACUGGGAUAACUCCGGGAAACCGGGGCUAAUACCGGAUAACAUUUUGCACCGCAUGGUGCGAAAUUGAAAGGCGGCUUCGGCUGUCACUUAUGGAUGGACCCGCGUCGCAUUAGCUAGUUGGUGAGGUAACGGCUCACCAAGGCAACGAUGCGUAGCCGACCUGAGAGGGUGAUCGGCCACACUGGGACUGAGACACGGCCCAGACUCCUACGGGAGGCAGCAGUAGGGAAUCUUCCGCAAUGGACGAAAGUCUGACGGAGCAACGCCGCGUGAGUGAUGAAGGCUUUCGGGUCGUAAAACUCUGUUGUUAGGGAAGAACAAGUGCUAGUUGAAUAAGCUGGCACCUUGACGGUACCUAACCAGAAAGCCACGGCUAACUACGUGCCAGCAGCCGCGGUAAUACGUA